Molecule: regulatory RNA element, 94 nt
Organism: Caryophanon tenue
Lineage: Bacteria; Bacillati; Bacillota; Bacilli; Caryophanales; Caryophanaceae
Rfam family: pan motif
Source: Rfam
AGGACAGUAUCCGUUUGUGAACUGUACCUCUUCUUAAUUUACCAUAAACUACAAAAAAUCUGCCUUGAUCUUGAACGAAGACAGGGACGGAAGA